RNAcentral lists this ribosomal RNA (251 nucleotides) under uncultured bacterium. RNAcentral's name for it is "partial 16S ribosomal RNA". It matches the Rfam family "Bacterial small subunit ribosomal RNA", at positions 526 to 776 of the family's 1533-position model. The record is from RNAcentral.
CGUAGGGUGCAAGCGUUAAUCGGAAUUACUGGGCGUAAAGCGUGCGCAGGCGGUUGUGCAAGACAGAUGUGAAAUCCCCGGGCUCAACCUGGGAACUGCAUUUGUGACUGCACAGCUUGAGUGCGGCAGAGGGGGAUGGAAUUCCGCGUGUAGCAGUGAAAUGCGUAGAUAUGCGGAGGAACACCGAUGGCGAAGGCAAUCCCCUGGGCCUGCACUGACGCUCAUGCACGAAAGCGUGGGGAGCAAACAGG